RNAcentral lists this ribosomal RNA (464 nucleotides) under uncultured bacterium. RNAcentral describes it as "partial 16S ribosomal RNA". It matches the Rfam family "Bacterial small subunit ribosomal RNA", at positions 338 to 795 of the family's 1533-position model. The record is from RNAcentral.
CCUACGGGGUGCUGCAGUGGGGAAUCUUCCGCAAUGGGCGAAAGCCUGACGGAGCAACGCCGCGUGAUCGAAUGAAGGCCUUCGGGUUGUAAAGAUCUGUUGACAGGGACGAAUAAGCAAUGCGAAUAGUUUUGUGUAUGACGGUACCUGUUUAGAAAGCUCCGGCUAACUACGUGCCAGCAGCCGCGGUAAUACGUAGGGAGCAAGCGUUGUCCGGAAUUACUGGGUGUAAAGGGAGCGUAGACGGCGCUGCAAGUCCGGAGUGAAAGCCCAUGGCUUAACCAUGGUACUGCUCUGGAAACUGUAGAGCUUGAGUGCGGGAGGGGCAGGCGGAAUUCCUAGUGUAGCGGUGAAAUGCGUAGAUAUUAGGAGGAACACCGGCGGCGAAGGCGGCCUGCUGGACCGUAACUGACGUUGAGGCUCGAAAGCGUGGGGAGCAAACAGGAUUAGAUACCCUUGUAGUC